GACGAACGCUGGCGGCGUGCCUAAUACAUGCAAGUAGAACGCUGAAGAGAGGAGCUUGCUCUUCUUGGAUGAGUUGCGAACGGGUGAGUAACGCGUAGGUAACCUGCCUUGUAGCGGGGGAUAACUAUUGGAAACUAUAGCUAAUACCGCAUAACAAUGGAUGACCCAUGUCAUUUAUUUGAAAGGGGCAAAUGCUCCACUACAAGAUGGACCUGCGUUGUAUUAGCUAGUAGGUGAGGUAACGGCUCACCUAGGCGACGAUACAUAGCCGACCUGAGAGGGUGAUCGGCCACACUGGGACUGAGACACGGCCCAGACUCCUACGGGAGGCAGCAGUAGGGAAUCUUCGGCAAUGGGGGCAACCCUGACCGAGCAACGCCGCGUGAGUGAAGAAGGUUUUCGGAUCGUAAAGCUCUGUUGUAAGUCAAGAACGAGUGUGAGAGUGGAAAGUUCACACUGUGACGGUAGCUUACCAGAAAGGGACGGCUAACUACGUG
Molecule: ribosomal RNA, 497 nt
Filed under: uncultured bacterium
Lineage: Bacteria
Description: partial 16S ribosomal RNA
Rfam family: Bacterial small subunit ribosomal RNA
Source: RNAcentral